Long non-coding RNA from Lotus japonicus, 765 nucleotides. RefSeq lists it as uncharacterized. The transcript has 2 exons. The record is from RefSeq and is a predicted model, not a curated record. NCBI's taxonomy places the organism in Eukaryota, Viridiplantae, Streptophyta, Magnoliopsida, Fabales, Fabaceae.
GUACUUUUUUUUCCUCUUCAUUAUAUUUGUUUUGAUCAUGGAGAUGCAGAACUUUGUUGUCCACAAUUGUUUAAAAUUUGAAUCAUACUAAUAAAAAUUCAUUUUAUUACAACUUCUUGCUCUUAAUUUUCCUUUACUCACCGUCAAUAUUUUUUUCCUUUACCUGCUGCCUCCCUUUUAAAAUUUCUCUCUUUUCUCUCCCUCAACUUUUCAACUUCAAUCUGCUUCAUCCUCUCUCUCUCAUCUUUACAUCUUCAAUCGGUGUUUCCUUUCUCUGUCUCUCUCAAGCUUCAAUCUACUUCAUCCUCAUCUUUUUUUAAAAAUGGUGUUUAAAGUUCGUAUCUUUUGGUCCCAAAGCCCAGUUUGCAUUUCUUAUUUGGCAAUAACUUUGAGGAAGCCACUAGAAUAAUGGAUCAAAGAGGAGUCAAGAUAAUUUCAAUUCAAUGGCAGGGUCGACCUCUGCAGUCACUGCAGCUGUUGCUCGUUGCUUCUAUUAAUUUUUGUGGUAGGAGAAGGAAUCCUUUUACUCAAAAGUUCACAAGGGGGACCCAAAGUCAAUGAGCAACAAGGUUAAACCAUAGCAGCAAAUAUCAAUCAUUGUGGCUCCCUGGCUGGUGAAUAUUGUAAGAUGAUCAUACUUCUGCAAGGUACCAUUAUGUGUAAUGGCUAGAAGGGUAGGAUUGUUGAAGAUUUGAUGUUUGAGUGAACUUAUUUGGUUUCCUACUUAAAUUCUAUAUAAUAAGCAUAGGUAUCUGUUUAACUUAA